Molecule: long non-coding RNA, 514 nt
Filed under: Rosa chinensis
Lineage: Eukaryota; Viridiplantae; Streptophyta; Magnoliopsida; Rosales; Rosaceae
Description: sRNA RchiOBHm_Chr3g0495361
Source: RNAcentral
CGACGUAAGGCCUCCUCAUCGUGACGUCCCCCCUUCUUGGUAGCCACAACGUUGACAUCGGUAUAGACGUCUAUUUUACUGAAGGCCAGGGUGCCUUGACGUCGGCGCCGGCGUCCAUUUCGACAAGGGUGCCUCGACGUCGGUGUCCAUUUCGACAAGGAUGCCUCGACGUCGGCGUUUAUUUCGACAAGGGUGCCUCGACGUCAGCGUUUACUUCGACAAGGGUGCCUUGACAUCGGCGUUUACUUCAACAAGGGUGUCUCGACGUCGGCUUUAUUUCGACAAGGAAGGUUGCCUUGACGUCGGCAUUUAUUUCAACAAGGGUGCCUCGGCGUCGGCUUUAUUUCGACAAGGAAGGUUGCCUUGACGUCGGCGUUCAUUUCGACAAGGAUGCCUCAGUGUCGGUGUCUCGUUGUCGGCGUGGGUGUCCUCGUAAUCUCCUCAGCAUCAAUCUUAACAUCAGUUUAGGUGAUAACGACGACCCCCGCAACGACCGUCAUGGCUUGGAUACGUA